UACGUAGGGGGCUAGCGUUGUCCGGAUUUAUUGGGCGUAAAGAGCGUGUAGGCGGCCAGGUAGGUCCGGUGUGAAAACUCGAGGCUUAACCUCGAGAUGUCAUCGGAAACCAUCUGGCUAGAGUCCGGAAGAGGAAAGUGGAAUUCCUGGUGUAGCGGUGAAAUUCGUAGAUAUUCGGAAGAACACCAGUGGCGAAGGCGGCUCACUGGCCCGUUACCGACGCUCAGGCGCGAUAGCGUGGGGAGCAAACAGG
Molecule: ribosomal RNA, 253 nt
Filed under: uncultured bacterium
Lineage: Bacteria
Description: partial 16S ribosomal RNA
Rfam family: Bacterial small subunit ribosomal RNA
Source: RNAcentral